CCUACGGGUGGCUGCAAUUAGGAAUCUUGCGCAAUGGGCGAAAGCCUGACGCAGCGACGCCGCGUGACUGAUGAAGUCCUUCGGGAUGUAAAAGUCUUUUAGCAGGGAAGAAGAUCUGACGGUCCCUGCUGAAUAAGCUCCGGCUAACUACGUGCCAGCAGCCGCGGUAAUACGUAGGGAGCGAGCGUUGUCCGAAGUUACUGGGCGUAAAGCGCGCGUAGGCGGUUGCUUAAGUUAGAUGUGAAAUCCUGGGGCUCAACCCCAGAACUGCAUCUAAAACUGGGCGACUGGAGGACGGAAGAGGGCAGUGGAAUUCCUGGUGUAGCGGUGAAAUGCGUAGAUAUCAGGAGGAACACCCGUGGCGAAGGCGGCUGCCUGGUCCGUAUCUGACGCUGAGGUGCGAAAGCUAGGGGAGCGAACGGGAUUAGAUACCCGUGUAGUC
Molecule: ribosomal RNA, 442 nt
Filed under: uncultured bacterium
Lineage: Bacteria
Description: partial 16S ribosomal RNA
Rfam family: Bacterial small subunit ribosomal RNA
Source: RNAcentral